Molecule: ribosomal RNA, 301 nt
Filed under: uncultured bacterium
Lineage: Bacteria
Description: partial 16S ribosomal RNA
Rfam family: Bacterial small subunit ribosomal RNA
Source: RNAcentral
CAGUCGCCACGGUAAUACGUAGGUGGCAAGCGUUGUCCGGAAUUAUUGGGCGUAAAGGGCUCGCAGGCGGUUUCUUAAGUCUGAUGUGAAAGCCCCCGGCUCAACCGGGGAGGGUCAUUGGAAACUGGGAAACUUGAGUGCAGAAGAGGAGAGUGGAAUUCCACGUGUAGCGGUGAAAUGCGUAGAGAUGUGGAGGAACACCAGUGGCGAAGGCGACUCUCUGGUCUGUAACUGACGCUGAGGAGCGAAAGCGUGGGGAGCGAACAGGAUUAGAGACCCCCGUAGUCCCUGUCUCUUAUAA